GGGAUCACACAAGCAGUGGAGCAUGUUGUUUAAUUCGAAGCAACGCGAAGAACCUUACCAGGCCUUGACAUGUACGGAUUAGCUGCGUGAAAGCGCAGUGACGGCUCUUCGGAGUUGGAACGUACACAGGUGUUGCAUGGCUGUCGUCAGCUCGUGUCGUGAGAUGUUCGGUUAAGUCCGGCAACGAGCGCAACCCACAUCCCUAGUUGCCAGCAGUUCGGCUGGGCACUCUAUGGAAACUGCCCGUGAUAAGCGGGAGGAAGGUGUGGAUGACGUCAAGUCCUCAUGGCCCUUACGGGUUGGGCUACACACGUGCUACAAUGGUAGUGACAAUGGGUUAAUCCCAAAAAGCUAUCUCAGUUCGGAUUGUCGUCUGCAACUCGACGGCAUG
Molecule: ribosomal RNA, 391 nt
Filed under: uncultured bacterium
Lineage: Bacteria
Description: bacterial SSU rRNA
Rfam family: Bacterial small subunit ribosomal RNA
Source: RNAcentral